This 836-nucleotide ribosomal RNA is filed under the name uncultured archaeon. RNAcentral's name for it is "bacterial SSU rRNA". It matches the Rfam family "Archaeal small subunit ribosomal RNA", at positions 1 to 844 of the family's 1478-position model. The record is from RNAcentral.
UUCCGGUUGAUCCUGCCGGACCUGACUGCUAUCGGAUUGAUACUAAGCCAUGCGAGUCAUUGUAGCAAUACAAGGCAGACGGCUCAGUAACGCGUAGUCAACCUAACCUAUGGAUGGGAAUAACCUCGGGAAACUGAGAAUAAUGUCCAAUAGAACACUAUACCUGGAAUGGUUUGUGUUCCAAAUGAUUUAUCGCCGUAGGAUGGGACUGCGGCCUAUCAGUUUGUUGGUGAGGUAAUGGCCCACCAAGACUAUUACAGGUACGGGCUCUGAGAGGAGUAGCCCGGAGAUGGGUACUGAGACACGGACCCAGGCCCUAUGGGGCGCAGCAGGCGAGAAAACUUUGCAAUGUGCGAAAGCACGACAAGGUUAAUCCGAGUGAUUUGUGCUAAACGAAUCUUUUGUUAGUCCUAGAAACACUAACGAAUAAGGGGUGGGCAAGUUCUGGUGUCAGCCGCCGCGGUAAAACCAGCACCUCAAGUGGUCAGGAUGAUUAUUGGGCCUAAAGCAUCCGUAGCCGGCUCUGUAAGUUUUCGGUUAAAUCUGUAUGCUCAACAUACAGGCUGCCGGGAAUACUGCAGAGCUAGGGAGUGGGAGAGGUAGACGGUACUCGGUAGGAAGGGGUAAAAUCCUUUGAUCUAUUGAUGACCACCUGUGGCGAAGGCGGUCUACCAGAACACGUCCGACGGUGAGGGAUGAAAGCUGGGGGAGCAAACCGGAUUAGAUACCCGGGUAGUCCCAGCUGUAAACUAUGCAAACUCAGUGAUGCAUUGGCUUGUGGCCAAUGCAGUGCUGCAGGGAAGCCGUUAAGUUUGCCGCCUGGGAAGUACGUACGC